AAGAGAUUGUCAGAAGAAAAAGAUUUUUCAAGAUGUAGUAAAAGAGAAAGUUAUAUCAGAAAGCAUGUGUGUUUAUUUUACCCAUCAUAUAGAUAAAAAUGUAUUUCUAAAUACCCUCAGAGAGAAAAGUCUAGCCUCUAUAUAGAAAAGAUUUUUUUUCUAUUUCCUUGCUACUCUGAGGUCUUUUAUUCAGAACCCUGGAAGAGUUCUGAAGCGCCGACCUCCCCCAGGCAGUGUUAAUUUCUCCUGAAUGAUCCAGAGAGGAUACAUAUGUCUGGGAAUGGAGAAUGCAGAAGAUACAUUUCAUGGGUUGGUAACAGAUGGCAUAUCCCCCCUUGAUACACAUAUGAAUUUCCAGUAUGGACAAUCACUUGUCUUUGUUAUUGCACACACAGAUCCUGGAACAUGAAUUGUGAAGAACUCAGUGUAGCCACCAAAUUCUAAGCAGUGUGCCCCAGAGAAAACGCUCCAGUUUUUCUCUUAUUUUAGCAUGAGGUAGUCCUGAAAGUUUCUGAUGUACUAAAAAUACAUUAUGCUGUGGUAGCCCAAAAAGGUUUCCUAGUGAGAUCUGAGCUUGCUUUAACCAGCAGGGCUGCAUAAGGGGAUGGAUUGACCACGUGCAUGUUUACCAGGUAUUUGGAAGGGUCUGCACUGAGUUGUGCUAGGGGGAGGUCUUUUGCUCCACCCCUUAGCAUUUCUAUAAAUAGCCCUUUAGAAGAGAGAGAGAAGGGGCUGGUGGAUAUUGAUCUAGGCCUUCCAGAACCAUCCUAUGUUUCUAUCUGUCUCUUUCCCCUUUAUCCUUCUAACUAAAUAUUUCUCACUUCUCCCUCCUCGAGAGUACCCUGGGUCCCUGACAGAUAGUGGUGCCACGAAUAGG
Molecule: non-coding RNA, 877 nt
Organism: Peromyscus maniculatus bairdii (prairie deer mouse)
Lineage: Eukaryota; Metazoa; Chordata; Mammalia; Rodentia; Cricetidae
Source: RefSeq, a predicted model, not a curated record